RNAcentral lists this long non-coding RNA (1309 nucleotides) under Heterocephalus glaber (naked mole-rat). RNAcentral describes it as "lncRNA (ENSHGLG00000043483.1)". The record is from RNAcentral. Lineage: Eukaryota; Metazoa; Chordata; Mammalia; Rodentia; Bathyergidae.
CCUGAGCCGGGCUCCCGCGGCUGGGGUGGCAGGAGGAGAGGCCGCGCGGCGCGGGGAGAGCCCAGAUUACUCCAGACCCUGAGCCACCGAUAACUCUCCAAGACGAUACCUGCCAUAGAAUACAUGCUAAACAAUCAUCUAUUGAACAAAUGCGACUGGAAACCAAAUUAUCAAUUUUAGCAGAUACAUAACAGUUGCCUUAUAUUAGAUUCAGACACUGACAGGAAGUGAAGCCCUAGAAAGUGAAGCCCUUUCAAAGCCCUGCUGAUGACAGGGCCUGGAUCCCUGAGUUACUGGUUGGAGUGGAGUUACCUGGAGUUGCCUCCCGAGCAGGAACAUCCAUGUUGGACAUUUUACAACUUGAGGAAUUCUGGCAUCUCGAACAGACAAGUUCUUCAGCACACACUUAAUGGUGGCUCUUCCCAUGAGAUAUUAAAAAAGCAAAGACAUGGGGGAAAUGCUGGUGAUCUACUACAUGAAGAAAAGCAGAGUCCUAAAAUAGCAAUAUAUUGCUGGGACUACAGGAAUGAGAUGCCAAGGAGGCUGACUUUUCUCUUAUAGAAUAUAAAUACCUCUCUAAUAAAGAAAUAUUGGUUUAAAUUAUGAGUUUCAGAUACAACCGAAUCCAUUUCUGCUUCCUAGGGCUAUUUUCAUCUGAAGUCCCGUUGCACUUGAUUGUAGCCAAAGUGACUGAAGCCUCUUUGGAAAUACAUGGGACAUAAAUGUACAAUAGGGGCUGGAGGUAUAGCUCAGUAGUAGAGCAUCAGCCUAGCAAGUGUGAGGCCCUGGAUUUGAUCCCCAGCACCAAAUAUAUGUCUGUAUAAUAAAGUAAAAAGAGCUCAAAAACAAAAAUCAGACAUGAUGGGGUCUCAAACUUAGGUUCUGCUACAUGAUGACUUAUCUUCCUCAGUUUUUGAUGUGGAAUAAUAGUAACAGCUGAGAUUUGUAGAACAUUCAGUAUGUACCAGACACUGUUUAAGUGCUUUACAUACAGUGGAAUUCUGCUAAAAAUCCUCUAAGGCAAAUUUUUUAUUUUUAAUGGUACAGGAGAUUGAACCCCAGGCCUUGUACAUACUAGGCAAGUGCUCUUCAAUUGAGCUAUACCUCCAGACCUUCUUAUUUUAUUUUGAAACAAGAUCUCAUUAAAUUACCCAGGCUAGCCUUGAACUUGCAAUCCUCCUGACUCUGGCUCCGCCUCCUGAGUAGCUGGGAUUACAGGUGUGCACCACCACUUCUGGGCUGAGAUGAAUUCUAUUAGUCUUAUUUUUUCAGAUGAUAAAAAUGAAACAGAGAGAAUGUCAAUCUUGCC